GGGGAGCAAACAGGAUUAGAUACCCUGGUAGUCCACGCCGUAAACGAUGUCGACUUGGAGGUUGUGCCCUUGAGGCGUGGCUUCCGGAGCUAACGCGUUAAGUCGACCGCCUGGGGAGUACGGCCGCAAGGUUAAAACUCAAAUGAAUUGACGGGGGCCCGCACAAGCGGUGGAGCAUGUGGUUUAAUUCGAUGCAACGCGAAGAACCUUACCUGGUCUUGACAUCCACGGAAGUUUUCAGAGAUGAGAAUGUGCCUUCGGGAGCCGUGAGACAGGUGCUGCAUGGCUGUCGUCAGCUCGUGUUGUGAAAUGUUGGGUUAAGUCCCGCAACGAGCGCAACCCUUAUCCUUUGUUGCCAGCGGUCCGGCCGGGAACUCAAAGGAGACUGCCAGUGAUAAACUGGAGGAAGGUGGGGAUGACGUCAAGUCAUCAUGGCCCUUACGACCAGGGCUACACACGUGCUACAAUGGCGCAUACAAAGAGAAGCGACCUCGCGAGAGCAAGCGGACCUCAUAAAGUGCGUCGUAGUCCGGAUUGGAGUCUGCAACUCGACUCCAUGAAGUCGGAAUCGCUAGUAAUCGUGGAUCAGAAUGCCACGGUGAAUACGUUCCCGGGCCUUGUACACACCGCCCGUCACACCAUGGGAGUGGGUUGCAAAAGAAGUAGGUAGCUUAACCUUCGGGAGGGCGCUUACCACUUUGUGAUUCAUGACUGGGGUGAAGUCGUAACAAGGUAACCGUAGGGGAACCUGCGGUUGGAUCACCU
This 765-nucleotide ribosomal RNA is filed under the name Escherichia coli. Its description in RNAcentral is "bacterial SSU rRNA". It matches the Rfam family "Bacterial small subunit ribosomal RNA", at positions 763 to 1528 of the family's 1533-position model. The record is from RNAcentral. Lineage: Bacteria; Pseudomonadati; Pseudomonadota; Gammaproteobacteria; Enterobacterales; Enterobacteriaceae.